Cucumis sativus (cucumber) is the source of this 614-nucleotide long non-coding RNA. RefSeq lists it as uncharacterized. The transcript has 2 exons. NCBI's taxonomy places the organism in Eukaryota, Viridiplantae, Streptophyta, Magnoliopsida, Cucurbitales, Cucurbitaceae. The record is from RefSeq and is a predicted model, not a curated record.
GCCAUAGCCGCAGCUCUAUACCAUGCUGCUGCGGCCAUUGCACCUGGAUCUGGAACUGUAGCGAGAAUUUCCCCAAAUACAUAUGACGAACGGCCAGCCUAUACAAGCCAUCCAAACGGUUAAUUGAACCUAAACUGAGCAUCUGAGUAAUGAAAAUUGGAAUCCAAGACAAUAGACCCGAGGAAGCGUUUCAACCCCAAAGAUGGUGUCAAAACACUGCCGUAUAACUAAAAAAGCCAAGAAACUCGAACUGAGCGCCUCUAGAUGCUAUGGGAUUUGAAGUUGACAAACACUUUAUUAAGGAGAAAAUUGAAACUGGUGUGAUAUGCAUACCUCAUCUCCCUAGUCCCUAGUACAGAGCUAAAGGCUCUGUGUUGAUUAAAGGGCUACCAAAAGCACAAUUUGAUAGAAUGGUUGACAAGCUGGCAAUGGAAGAUAUAUUUAAACAAGGUUGAGGGGGAAUGUUGGUUGUACAUAUGUUGCAAAAUCAUUAGAGAUCUUAUUUUAUUCUUAUUAGGAUACUUUCCUUUUAUGUAUAUAGCCUUUCUCUUAUAUAAGAGGGCUUUGUAUCUCAAGAUUAAUUAGUGGAAUACAGAAUAAUUUAUUCACUCAAA